Long non-coding RNA from Brassica rapa (field mustard), 1518 nucleotides. RefSeq lists it as uncharacterized. The record is from RefSeq and is a predicted model, not a curated record. Lineage: Eukaryota; Viridiplantae; Streptophyta; Magnoliopsida; Brassicales; Brassicaceae.
GAAAAGAAAAUUCACUACAGUGAUUAAAACCAAAAUACAGAUAUUGAUUUCAGAAAAAGGCAGAAUCGAUGAAACAAGCGGAAGACCCAUCAAUUCAGUCGUAAAUACAAGUAAUAAAAAUGCAGCCUUUCAUAAAAACAAACAACAUACAAACUUACACCGUGACCUGGUGACAAAGAUUGAACCCAAGGUCAAACUCACUAAACCCAGCAAACAGAGAACAAUCUAUCAGCGAACGAAACAUCAGAAAGAGAAGCAUGGACGAGACUAAACUCACUCUCUAGGGUUUAAUGGAGACACAUCUCUCUGGAAGCGUCUUUCAUUGAGGUUCGCUCAUCCUGUCUGUCCGUUCAUUAUUUUGAGUGUUCAACUUCGGUGCGGGUCACACGGUGGACGAAGUGAGUGAAAGUGACUACAAAAGUUGCACAUUGGGGAACUCAAUUUCUUCCGACAGUAGCGAAGCACAAGCAUAUCUCUCAAGACAGCUGAUUCUCACUACUUCAUUUGCGCUAUCCCCGGCCACUGUGCCGGCCGCAUGAAGCUCUCUGUGAACGUAGGUUCAGCGGCCUCUUCAGACGGUUGCGGUGAUAGUGGUGACAGUAACACCCCCAGAACUACACCUUCUCCAACCGUAGAGGGCAGGAAGGCUGCUCCUUCCGCUUAUGCCACUGCUAUGUUAAAGCCGUUCAAAGCUUUGGUUGUGACUUGUGUAGUUGCAUUAUUAUAUGCUUUGGCUCUUUCUUAGUUGUCUCUAAUUUCUUUUUAAUUUGGUUUGGCUCGUUUGAAAGUCCAGACUAGAGGUAGUGGUAUGAGCCCUAUUAUUAUUAUAUGCUUUUUGAUGUGAUUAAUUAUUGUUGCAUCUUGAUAUGUCUUAAAUCUCUGUGCAUCAGUAAAAACCCAAUAUUCGUCGGGUCGGACAUCUGGGGGGAGGGGGUGCGGAGGCCAUAGGCCCCUGCGGUAUGGUAUGCCUUUUCAGUUUAGGAAAUUUACUUUUUCUGGAUAAGUAUGUAUUUCUAUAGAAAAAAAAGAAAUCGGGUUUUGAAGCUACUAUAAAUACGGGUCUAAGGGUUUGUAAGAUUAUUGAUUCACAUAAUAAUAAAAAACCCUAAACGGAUAUUUGUCUCAAUUUGUUUUGAUCUUUCUUCAAAGUUGAUUCACAUUUGUUCACAACAAUUAUUCUAUGAUAUUUUCUUCUGUUUCACAUUUACAUUUUUUCACGAUUAUAUUUAUGUAUUGUUAGGAGCCUUUUACUGAAAACUACACCAAAACACAUAGCUUACUAGUUGUAAGACUAAUACAAUGCAAGGUUAUGAAAAUUCAAAUCGAAUUAUAAAAAUAUUUAAGCUAAGAAUGUCAAAAGCAAGGUUGGUCAAUGGUCAAUCGAUUAUUCAGUUCACAAAAUAAUUUGGUUGGAUUUUGGUUUUGAGUUUCUUGAAUUCUAAGAAUAGAUCCUAUAGUUUGCCAAAAUAAAAGAAAGAUCGUAUUUUUUACCAAAAAAAAAAAAAGAAAGAUCGUAUU